This 468-nucleotide ribosomal RNA is filed under the name uncultured bacterium. RNAcentral describes it as "partial 16S ribosomal RNA". It matches the Rfam family "Bacterial small subunit ribosomal RNA", at positions 28 to 507 of the family's 1533-position model. The record is from RNAcentral.
GACGAACGCUGGCGGCGUGCUUAACACAUGCAAGUCGAACGGAAAGGCCCUGCUUUUGUGGGGUGCUCGAGUGGCGCACGGGUGAGUAACACGUGAGUAACCUGCCCUUAACUUUCGGAUAACUUCAGGAAACUGGGGCUCAUACCGGAUAGGAGCUCCUGCUGCAUGGUGUGCGUUGGAAAGUUUCGGCGGUUGGGGCUGGACUGGAGGCUUCUCAGCUUGUUUGUGGGGUAGUGGCUUACCAAGGCUUUGACGGCUAGCCGGCCUGAGAGGGUGACCGGGCUCAUGGGUACUGCGGGACGGACCAGACUCGUACGGGAGGCAGCAGGGGGGAAUAUGGCACAAUGGGCGGAAGCCUGAUGCAGCGGCGCCGCGUUCGUAAUGACGGCCUUCUGGGUGUAAACCGCUGUCGACUGUGACGAAGCGGGAGUGACGGUAAUUGGUAAAGAAGCACCGGCUAACUACGUG